RNAcentral lists this long non-coding RNA (3923 nucleotides) under Strigops habroptila (Kakapo). RNAcentral's name for it is "lncRNA (ENSSHBG00005004199.1)". Lineage: Eukaryota; Metazoa; Chordata; Aves; Psittaciformes; Psittacidae. The record is from RNAcentral.
AGUAACUCUGUCUUUUGCUUUUUGCUAUACAUUUUUUCUUAGGAAUAGUAAAAAAGUAGAGGUAACUACACUCUUGCUUUAAUUUCUGCUAAUGGCAAAAUUCCUCAGAGGCUGUGGGGGGAAGAGGGAAGGCAGCAAGGAAGGGAAGGAAGCAGGGGGGAGGAGGAAGGAAGGAAGGAAAGAAAGAAGGGAGGAAGGGAGGAAGGGAAGAAGGAAGGGAGGAAAUAUCAAAGGAGAUGAGAAUAGGUAAUAGACUGCAGACAGAAUGAAGUUUUCAUUUCAGCAGCCAGAACUAACAAGAUGAACUUUUUCAGGCAGCUGAAAAUCUAGUAUGAAAAUUAGGCUACAGGUUGGAGCCAAUAAAUCUGAGGAAGAAUAUGACAAAUAAAGUACAGCUGUGCAUCGUAUUCAUAAUAAUGCAGCUUAAUUAGCAAGUGAUUAGAAACCAUAAUGGUUAUCAAAUUAUGCUUAUGCCGGAGAUGCAUUGCAACUCAUUUACAAGUGCUAUGAGACCCCUUGCUUCCUCACAGAAACUUAGAUGAGAUGCCUCUCUUACAGGCAAGCUGCCAGUUAUUGUUCCUUAUUGUGGUAAAAUGCUUAGAAAUUCAGUAUUGAUAACUUCUUUUCUGUUAAGUUCAUAAAAUUAUUCUGGGUUUAUGUAUAGCAAUAUAUAAACCUGUUUGCUCUGGUCCAUAACUAAUAUUUUUGCUUAUGUCAUUUUCAAGUAAGUUAUUUGAAACACUUUCCUCUUCCAUAACUGGAGCUUAUUUGGUUGCUGACCUAUUUGGUCCAACAGCUGAAAACAUUUGCAAAUGCAUAAUUCCUGACUGAGAUCGAAUACAACUUUUGUAAAAUAUCCAGCAGUGGCUUACAGAUUUCAAGUGACAGGAGCAAAGUUCAUGUCUAGGACAGACUGUUUGGUGUGUAGACUGGGUAAGAUUUUAGUGGCAGAUUCCUCGAGGCAACACCAACUUCUAUUGCUGCUUGACAACCCUGCUUUUUACAGAGCGUGCUCAAGCAGUCUUAGCCAGACACCCACCUGCAGCCCAUGGGGGACCCCACACUGGAGCAGUCUGUUCCUGAAGGACUGCACCCAUGGAAGGGACCCACGCUGGAGCAGUCUGUGCCUGAAGGACUGCACCCCAUGGAAAGGACCCAUACUGGAGCAGUCUGUUCCUGAAGGACUGCACCCAUGGAAGGGACCCACAUUGGAGUAGUCUGUGCCCGAAGGACUGCACCCCAUGGAAAGGACCCAGGCUGGAGCAGUCUGUGCCUGAAGGGCUGCACCCAUGGAAGGGACCCACACUGGAGCAGUCUGUGCCUGAAGGACUGCACUCAUGGAAGGGACCCAUGCUGGAGCAGAGGAAGUGUGAGGAAGGUACAGCGUAGACAAUGUGUAAUAAACUGACUGCAACCCCCAUUCCCUGUCCCCCUGUGCCAUUUUGGGGGAGGAAGUAGAGAAUUCAGGAGUGAAGUUGAGCCCAGGAAGAAGGGAGGGGUGGGGGAAAGUGUUUUUAAGAAUUGGGUUUAUUUCUCAUUACACUAACCUGGGUUUGAUUGGUAACAAAUUAAACUCAUUUCCCCAAGUCAAGUCUGUUUUGCCCAUGACGGUAACUGGUGAGUGAUCUCUCCCUGUCCCUAUCUCAACCCUUGAGCCUUUUGUUAUAUUUUCUCUUCCCCAUCUAGUUGAGUGACAGAGUGGCCUUGGUGGGCAUCUGGCAUCCAGUCAAGGUCAAUGCAUCAUACCAUCAGACAGCAACCUGCAGCGAACAGUUCAACAUAUGAACAGUGAAAAUUUAUAUGUUGUAGAUGAAUGUUUGUGAUCAAUUCUCAAAUAAUAGAACAGGAGUGAGUUUUAUCAAGUGAAUAAUUGAGCCAACCUUGUUAUCUUCAAUACAAAGUUAGUUUAAACCAACCACAUUCAGCUGGAAUGACAGUGCUUAAUGGAAUACACAUCAUGCUACAUAGUUUGCCAAGCCAAAAUUGUCUUCUGCGUGAAUUGGUCAGUGCGAAUACCACAGAGAGUCAAUGCCAGUUACCUCCUGGUGGAAUCUCUAGAAAAGUUUUGGAAGGUCUGAGAAUGCACACAAGUUACAGUGAAAGCAAAGUAACCGUGAAGUCAUUCUUGCAGUUAAAAUACUUUUAGCAUAGUUUUUCUGCUACUUUUUUUUAAUUUCCCAAAGCAUAAAGGAAAUUGCAGCUUAAAACUCUGUUUUGACAGUAUGUCUGCCUGUGAGAGGGUAUGAAAGGUAUUACUGAGUUCUUUACUUUCCACUGUCUAUUAUGGUGAAGUAUAGGAACAGGAAGCAUAAAAUUACAUCCCUGGGUAACUGAAGGAUGUAGCACAACAAAUCCACCAAAGAGUACAGGUUGAAUAUGGGGGAGUCACACAGGUGUAGCUGCACCUCCCCGUGUCAUUACUCCUUUCUAGUGCCAUCACGAUUUCAGAGCACCACCAUCCCUGACUAUGAAUAGAGGCACCACCAGGAAAAAUGUCUGGUGUCAAAAAUUGUUAGCAACUGAAUACAGUAGAACUGGUUAUUCAAUAUGAGAUGUGAAUUAAUUGGAUCACAUUGUAAACAAACUUGAGAAGGUUGCAGAUUUGGUCUGUCUUCACUGUAUAAUACAAACAAAAGCUCAUACACUGUGAGCAAAUCACUAGGAUACUUGCCUACAGCUCCAUGCAGCAGUUAAACAAUUGGUUUGGCAUUUCCAAAGGAACUUAACUGGCUGCCAUGCCUCUUCAAUGUAUCUACAUUAAAAAUAAAUACACUUAUCUAUAUUUGUAAUGUGUUAAAUACUUUCAUAUUUCAUGUUACAUUUAGGUCUUCUUUCUGUGAUAUUGCCAAUGUCAGAAGGAUGGAUUUCAGUAAACUGUCUGGUGCUCCUGGAUGUAAAUGUAAUAAAUGUAACUGAAAAUGAAAUUUCAGAUUUGUUUCACAACAACAAGAUACAUUUCAAUUUCAAAUCUAGAUGUUAAUGUUUUAGCCAAAAUGGAUAAAUCCUUCCCCUAAAUCAUAAAAGACCACUCAGUAAGUUGGUCAGUCUCCUUGCUCACUGAAUAUAGCAGAGAGAGGGGGCUUCUUUAGAAACAUUGGUAUAAUGUCAAGUGGAGUUUAUAUCUGGAGUUUGCAACUAUGGAGUUUGCAUUUUUAAAAGACAUAUUUUGGUCUGUAAAAAAUUGUAUUUUACUGCAGAAAAUAACAGUUGGUUUCUGUGCAGUUGCCUCGAGACUGCUUAGUUCCCAUUAUCUUCAAUUGAGAUGAAUAUGUAUAAGAGAAAAUAUUUUGGCCUUGAGAGAAAGAAAGGAAAAUAGGUUUUGAGUAUCUGCAUAGCUCCAACUUAUUUUCUUAGUACAGUUGAAUCUACUGGUAGCUCUUGGUAGAAACUAGCUUUUCUUGUACUGAAUACACAGACCCAGAGACUUUUGUCUGGUGCUUGGUGGAUCACUGAAGUGAUGGAAUCAAAAGACUUUGUUCUGUGGAACGUAGUCUGGUAAUUGGAAGAGUGGAAGGGAGCCACUUUAUCAUCAGUUUGUGUUUAUCUUGUUUUGCUCUAUUUCCUGAGCUAACAAACUCUUUUCUGGUCACGUGUGUCUCUGCCUUUUCAGAGAGCAAUGAGAGAUGUCAAGUUUUCCAGUCUUUUAGGGUAGGAAAGAGGAAACAGAUACAUAAAUUAUUUCUCAAGAAAGACCUCUCAAGCCUUUUAUGUUGAUAUGACAGACUCAGCAGAAAAUCUCCAAUAGUAAAAUGCUACCUGCUUUGCUCCUGUCCACCUUUCUAGUUAAAGCAAUACUACACUUAAACUCCUAUUUCACUUCUCAGCUAAACCAUGGCAGACCUUCACCUGUAUAUCAGCAAUAAAUAUAUUAAAAAGAACAGGCAAAUGUGUGGACUUUUCUCUUUGACAUUCCUUUUUCCAGC